Molecule: transfer RNA, 70 nt
Filed under: Ictidomys tridecemlineatus (thirteen-lined ground squirrel)
Lineage: Eukaryota; Metazoa; Chordata; Mammalia; Rodentia; Sciuridae
Description: Spermophilus tridecemlineatus (thirteen-lined ground squirrel) tRNA
Rfam family: tRNA
About the family: Transfer RNA (tRNA) molecules are approximately 80 nucleotides in length. Their secondary structure includes four short double-helical elements and three loops (D, anti-codon, and T loops).
Source: Rfam by way of RNAcentral
GGGGAUAUGACUCAGUGGUAGAGUACUUGCCUGGCAUUUGUGAGAGUCUUGGGUUCAAUUCCCAGUACCG